CCUACGGGUGGCAGCAGUGGGGAAUAUUGGACAAUGGGGGGAACCCUGAUCCAGCCAUGCCGCGUGUGUGAAGAAGGCCCUCGGGUUGUAAAGCACUUUCAGUGAGGAAGAACGCCUGGUGGUUAAUACCCAUCAGGAAAGACAUCACUCACAGAAGAAGCACCGGCUAACUCCGUGCCAGCAGCCGCGGUAAUACGGAGGGUGCGAGCGUUAAUCGGAAUUACUGGGCGUAAAGCGAGCGUAGGUGGCUUGAUAAGCCGGUUGUGAAAGCCCCGGGCUCAACCUGGGAACGGCAUCCGGAACUGUCAAGCUAGAGUGCAGGAGAGGAAGGUAGAAUUCCCGGUGUAGCGGUGAAAUGCGUAGAGAUCGGGAGGAAUACCAGUGGCGAAGGCGGCCUUCUGGACUGACACUGACACUGAGGUGCGAAAGCGUGGGUAGCAAACAGGAUUAGAUACCCCGGUAGUC
This 465-nucleotide ribosomal RNA is filed under the name Vreelandella stevensii. RNAcentral describes it as "partial 16S ribosomal RNA". It matches the Rfam family "Bacterial small subunit ribosomal RNA", at positions 338 to 795 of the family's 1533-position model. Lineage: Bacteria; Pseudomonadati; Pseudomonadota; Gammaproteobacteria; Oceanospirillales; Halomonadaceae. The record is from RNAcentral.